This 500-nucleotide ribosomal RNA is filed under the name uncultured bacterium. RNAcentral describes it as "partial 16S ribosomal RNA". It matches the Rfam family "Bacterial small subunit ribosomal RNA", at positions 30 to 523 of the family's 1533-position model. The record is from RNAcentral.
AUUGAACGCUGGCGGAAUGCUUUACACAUGCAAGUCGAACGGCAGCACGGACCUCGGUCUGGUGGCGAGUGGCGAACGGGUGAGUAAUGUAUCGGAACGUGCCCAGUCGUGGGGGAUAACGUAGUGAAAAUUACGCUAAUACCGCAUACGAUCUAUGGAUGAAGGCGGGGGAUCGCAAGACCUCGCGCGAUCGGAGCGGCCGAUAUCAGAUUAGGUAGUUGGUGGGGUAAAGGCCCACCAAGCCAACGAUCUGUAGCUGGUCUGAGAGGACGACCAGCCACACUGGAACUGAGACACGGUCCAGACUCCUACGGGAGGCAGCAGUGGGAAAUUUUGGACAAUGGGCGAAAGCCUGAUCCAGCCAUUCCGCGUGCAGGAUGAAGGCCCUCGGGUUGUAAACUGCUUUUGUACAGAACGAAAAGGUUUCUACUAAUACUAGGAGCUCAUGACGGUACUGUAAGAAUAAGCACCGGCUAACUACGUGCCAGCCGCCGCCGUAA